RNAcentral lists this ribosomal RNA (460 nucleotides) under uncultured bacterium. Its description in RNAcentral is "bacterial SSU rRNA". It matches the Rfam family "Bacterial small subunit ribosomal RNA", at positions 335 to 784 of the family's 1533-position model. The record is from RNAcentral.
ACUCCUACGGGAGGCAGCAGUGGGGAAUAUUGGACAAUGGGCGAAAGCCUGAUCCAGCCAUGCCGCGUGUGUGAAGAAGGUCUUCGGAUUGUAAAGCACUUUAAGUUGGGAGGAAGGGCAGUAAGUUAAUACCUUGCUGUUUUGACGUUACCGACAGAAUAAGCACCGGCUAACUCUGUGCCAGCAGCCGCGGUAAUACAGAGGGGUGCAAGCGUUAAUCGGAAUUACUGGGCAUAAAGCGCGCGUAGGUGGUUUUGUUAAGUUGGAUGUGAAAGCCCCGGGGCUCAACCUGGGAACUGCAUCCAAAACUGGCAAGCUAGAGUACGGUAGAGGGUGGUGGAAUUUCCUGUGUAGCGGUGAAAUGCGUAGAUAUAGGAAGGAACACCAGUGGCGAAGGCGGCCCCCUGGACAAAGACUGACGCUCAGAUGCGAAAGCGUGGGGAGCAAACAGGAUUAGAUA